Long non-coding RNA from Dalotia coriaria, 797 nucleotides. RefSeq lists it as uncharacterized. The transcript is spliced from 2 exons. NCBI's taxonomy places the organism in Eukaryota, Metazoa, Arthropoda, Insecta, Coleoptera, Staphylinidae. The record is from RefSeq and is a predicted model, not a curated record.
ACUGAAGCAGCUGCAUUAACACCAACAAUCGGUUUCCCUUUAAGUUCUUAACAGAGUUGUGAUAAAGAACAUCUGAACCAACAUAAUCAGAAACGUGUAUGUGUGCGAAGAACAGCGGUGGAACACGCGACGAGUGCAUGACUACAGAAAACUACAGAAAACAAAUGUACGGUUUGAGCAAAAACGCAUGCUCACUUCAACUUACCUUUCUUGGAGCCUGUCGGUGACGGCGCUGCAACUGACAGCAAAGUCCUCGCGCAAUGUCGCAUUCACUCGACAUGCUGCAGGGCUCCGAAUACUGUUUAUCCUGCUGCACCGGCGGUCGGCAAACACGCGUAGAGAUUCCUUGCUCAGCUUCGGCACAGACGAGUCCUGAUUCACAGUCGCUGUCACGUCGGCAAAGUUCACCCACGCGUCUUCCAUAAGUGAACAUGCAUUGACCAAUUACUAUGGAACAUGAAAGAAAAUUGUUUCUGUAUUUUCUGAUUUUCCAAGUCAAAAAGCUGCUUGUGUUACAUUUUUAUGUAUAAAUGUAUUUUACUUUUAAUUAGCAUAAACACAAAGUGGAUCGAUAAAUUCGCAAAAUAUAUCGCGUGAUUUCUAAAUUCAGCGCGCCACAAGCACCACAGGUACGCCACAGCACGAAUUUACUUUCAAUAUAUUUUUUCAACUCUCUUUAACUCACAAGUAAAUAAAAUAACGUGUAAAAUUGUUUUACGAAACGUUUUCAGACUUUCUGCUUAUCGAUUGAUCAAACGAAUUGAAAUGUGAAAAGGUUAAAUAAAUUAUUAAACACG